AAAAAGUUAGUUUAAUAUAAAAUAUUAGUUUGUCAAACUAAAGAAAUUUACAAAAUACUUUUUG
This 64-nucleotide transfer RNA is filed under the name Ilyocoris cimicoides. RNAcentral's name for it is "tRNA-Asp". The record is from RNAcentral. Lineage: Eukaryota; Metazoa; Arthropoda; Insecta; Hemiptera; Naucoridae.